AUUGAACGCUGGCGGAAUGCUUUACACAUGCAAGUCGAACGGCAGCACGGACUUCGGUCUGGUGGCGAGUGGCGAACGGGUGAGUAAUACAUCGGAACGUGCCCAGUCGUGGGGGAUAACGUAGCGAAAGCUACGCUAAUACCGCAUACGAUCUAAGGAUGAAAGCGGGGGAUCGCAAGACCUCGCGCGAUUGGAGCGGCCGAUGGCAGAUUAGGUAGUUGGUAGGGUAAAGGCCUACCAAGCCGACGAUCUGUAGCUGGUCUGAGAGGAUGAUCAGCCACACUGGGACUGAGACACGGCCCAGACUCCUACGGGAGGCGGCAGUGGGGAGUUUUGGACAAUGGGCGCAAGCCUGAUCCAGCCAUUCCGCGUGCAGGAUGAAGGCCUUCGGGUUGUAAACUGAUUUUGUACAGAACGAAAAGGCUCUGGUUAAUACCCGGGGCUCAUGACGGUACUGUAAGAAUAAGCACCGGCUAACUACGUGCCAGCAGCCGCAGUAA
RNAcentral lists this ribosomal RNA (500 nucleotides) under uncultured bacterium. Its description in RNAcentral is "partial 16S ribosomal RNA". It matches the Rfam family "Bacterial small subunit ribosomal RNA", at positions 30 to 523 of the family's 1533-position model. The record is from RNAcentral.